Molecule: ribosomal RNA, 440 nt
Filed under: uncultured bacterium
Lineage: Bacteria
Description: partial 16S ribosomal RNA
Rfam family: Bacterial small subunit ribosomal RNA
Source: RNAcentral
CCUACGGUGGGCAGCAGUGGGGAAUAUUGCACAAUGGGGGGAACCCUGAUGCAGCGACGCCGCGUGAGUGAAGAAGUAUUUCGGUAUGUAAAGCUCUAUCAGCAGGGAAGAAAAUGACGGUACCUGACUAAGAAGCCCCGGCUAACUACGUGCCAGCAGCCGCGGUAAUACGUAGGGGGCAAGCGUUAUCCGGAUUUACUGGGUGUAAAGGGAGCGUAGACGGUUAUGCAAGUCUGAAGUGAAAUCCCAUGGCUUAACCAUGGGACUGCUUUGGAAACUGUAAAACUGGAGUGCAGGAGAGGUAAGCGGAAUUCCUAGUGUAGCGGUGAAAUGCGUAGAUAUUAGGAGGAACACCAGUGGCGAAGGCGGCUUACUGGACUGUAACUGACGUUGAGGCUCGAAGGCGUGGGGAGCAAACAGGAUUAGAUACCCGAGUAGUC